AGCAGCCGCGGUAAUUCCAGCUCCAAUAGCGUAUAUUAAAGUUGUUGCAGUUAAAAAGCUCGUAGUUGAAUUUCGGGAUCAAUACGUCGGUCGUGCUUCGGUACGUACUGGCGUAAUUGAUUUCUCCCUUCUGACGAACCAUGAUGUCAUUAACUUGGUGUCAUGGGAAAUCAGGACUGUUACUUUGAAAAAUUAGAGUGUUUAAAGCAGGCUCACGCUUGAAUACAUUAGCAUGGAAUAAUGAAAUAGGACGUUCGAUCCUAUUUUGUUGGUUUUUAGGAUCAACGUAAUGAUUAAUAGGGAUAGUUGGGGGCAUUAGUAUUCAAUUGUCAGAGGUGAAAUUCUUGGAUUUAUUGAAGACUAACUACUGCGAAAGCAUUUGCCAAGGAUGUUUUCAUUAAUCAAGAACGAAAGUUAGGGGAUCGAAGACGAUCAGAUACCGUCGUAGUCUUAACCAUAAACUAUGCCGACUAGGGAUCGGAUGAUGUUAAUUUUUAAUGACUCAUUCGGCGCCUUACGG
This 520-nucleotide small RNA is filed under the name uncultured Glomus. RNAcentral describes it as "SSU rRNA". It matches the Rfam family "Eukaryotic small subunit ribosomal RNA", at positions 569 to 1093 of the family's 1831-position model. Lineage: Eukaryota; Fungi; Glomeromycota; Glomeromycetes; Glomerales; Glomeraceae. The record is from RNAcentral.